RNAcentral lists this ribosomal RNA (311 nucleotides) under uncultured bacterium. RNAcentral describes it as "bacterial SSU rRNA". It matches the Rfam family "Bacterial small subunit ribosomal RNA", at positions 28 to 334 of the family's 1533-position model. The record is from RNAcentral.
GAUGAACGCUGGCGGCGUGCUUAACACAUGCAAGUCGAACGGGGAUAAGGGAAGCUUGCUUUCCUUAUCUUAGUGGCGGACGGGUGAGUAACGCGUGGAUAACCUGGCCCAUACAGGGGGAUAGCAGCUGGAAACGGCUGGUAAUACCGCAUAAGCGCACGGUACGGCAUCGUACAGUGUGAAAAACUCCGGUGGUAUGGGAUGGGUCCGCGUCUGAUUAGGCAGUUGGCGGGGUAAAGGCCCACCAAACCGACGAUCAGUAGCCGGCCUGAGAGGGUGGGCGGCCACAUUGGGACUGAGACACGGCCCAA